UGAUCUCCCUGGAAACAGAGGAAAUGCGGUAACAACAACAACAUACCCAGUAUAUUCCCAUAUUUGGGGUCUGGGGAUAGUGUGUACGCAGACCUUACCCCUACCUAGUGAAGGUAGAGACGUUGUUUCCAAUAGAAAGGUGGUAAGUUUUCUCAUAAUUGGUGCUUAACAUUGGGUUGGAAAUGUUGCAUUUGGGUUUGAUGUCUUCUUAUUGAAAAGAAAAGGUAUACAGAUCAUGCUAAUAUCAAAAGAAAAAGACUAAAUUGAUGCUUCUUUGUGGCAAGGAUAUACUAAAGGCUAAUAAACCAGUCUUGGUUUUAGAAAUUGUGCUAGUCAUCCCCUUGUCAGCUAAUCAUGUCUAAUGCGCAAGUUUUCUCUUCUAAAGAAGUGAUAAAAAUGCAUGUUACUUCCUUAAAGUUCUAUGAACACAUUAAUAUUAAGGCAUAAAGUCGUAAAACAUGGGAUUAAUACAUACUUUACUCCCCAAACUUGGACAAAAAUCCUUUACUUUUCUUUGUGUCUAUUUUCCGUAGCAAAAGCCCCACGAAAAUGCCAUGUGGCAUGUGCGUCACUGCAUCACUUACCAGCCCAAGCAAAGCGUGCAAGGGUUAAAAAUCUGUCAAAAUCCCAUUUUUUAAAAGAUUUUUCAGCUUGUUUUCUUCUUUUUAGAUGCUACCUCUUUUUUGACACUUCUUUUUUCUUUUUUUGCCUUAUUGUAUAUUCUUUUCCUUUUCUUUAUUUUCUCUUUCCUUCUUUCUUUUUCUACUCCAAUUGUUCUUAUCCUCUGAACUCUCCGAUAUACUGUUGCUCCAGUAAGCAGCCAACUAUAGGGUGCACACUUUACUGUUAGCCACAUGAGCUCAACCAUGUUGAACGCAGCAACUAGAGGUGCAUGCUCUACUGUUAGCCACAUGAACUCAACCACGGUCCAGUUAAGCAGAAGCUCUCUUGGUCACUUGAUUGCCGAUAUUUCUCAGAGGGAAGUUAGGAAGAAGGAACGAGAAAGCAGGGAAAAGAUACAAAAGAUAAGGAUAAUGAAAUAGAUCCUUUGUUUCUCAUGCAUAUUUUGCAUUCUUUUUGGUUUUAAAUCUGUUAAUGGGAAAAUGGGUUUGUUACCGGCAAAGUUUGUCGAGCAAAAGUGAAGGUAGAAGGCCCACAGGGUUAUGGGAAUGAAAAUAGAGAAAGAUUUCUACAGAGACUGCCAAGAUUUGGUCCAGCCAGAAUUUCAACCAAGAAAAUGACAAUGGGAAAAGGGGUUUUCGCCGGUAAAUUUGGCUUGGAAAAAUGGUUGAAAGCUAGCAAGGAUGGACCUUUUUUCAUUUUUUUCCCAUGACGUGUCAUGAGUGGUGCGUAUCAUGUGCUUCCAAGAGGGAGUGGUCGUAUGUCAUCCAGGAGGGUCUUAGACAUGGAUUUUGCAGAAUUAAGAAGGAUGCCACGAAGAAAAGGUGUGUAAAUGGGAUUUCUGUGCAAGUUGGAGGACUAAGAGCCCAUUUGGAUUGGUUUUAAAAAAGUGGCUUUUAAGUAUAAGUGCUUAAAAGUACUUUUAAGUGCUGGAGUUUGUUUUAUAAAUAAGCAGUUAAGUGUUUGGAUAAAAGUGCUGAAACUUAAAAAAAGUUGUUGAAGUGUUUGGUAAAUAAGUGCUGGUAAGCACUUGUUUCUGUUAAAAUGACUGAAAUAUCCUUAAAGUUGUUAACACUAUAAAGAAAAUAAUUACGAUAAUAUUUUAUUCUAAAUUAAUACAUAUACAAAAAAAUUAUAAUUUAGUUCAUUUUCAAUUUAAAACUGAUUGCCUAAAUAUAAAUUAUUUAUUUAAAUAACAUGCAAUAAUCUAUUAUUUCACCAAAAAAUAUUUUUUCGGCUCAUAGCUUCAAAUUCUUUGUUAAUAGAUAGACUCAUUGAAAAUUUUGAUUUAGAAUAUAGUUUCUCCAAUUUAAAAAAAUGAGGGAUUCAACAGCAAUUUUUUUUUAAAAAAAAUGUUAUGGAACCAAAAAAGAAACUAAAACAAAAUAAUGUAUAUAAAAUAUUAAAUGCAUCAAACAUUUACAAAGCUACAGUUGGCUUUACGUUUACAACUUCAAACAAAUUGAUAAAAUUUUGGGGAAUGGCAGCAGAGAUGACACGGGAUUUAUUAAUUAGUAAGGGAAGGAUAGUUUUGGAUUUAGAAAAAGUAAAAGGGAUAAUAACUCUACAAAGAACAAAACACUAUUUUUCACUCUCAUGAAUCCAAAACCAAAAGAGUUCGGCAGUGAUGGAAUUUGGAAGGCACACAUUGGAAAUGACAAAGGAAAGGAGAAAAAGAAAAGAUUAUGGAAUUUGGAAGGCAGAGAUUGAAAAUGGCGGAGGAAAGGAGAAAAAGAAAAGAUUGGGGUAUUUUGAAAAUUAUACAUAAGUAUCAGGGAUAGCAAUAUAAAAUACUUGGUCAAAGAGGGAUGACUUUUAAGCUAGAAAAAAAAAGUUGGGAUUACCCAACUUAUCACUUUUGGCUUAAUUUGGAUCUUUUGGCUUAAAAGCAUUUGACCUUUAAGCAGAUUUUAAGUUUGCCAAACACCUCAAUAAGCUAAAAAAUGACUUAAAAGCUGGUUUGACCAGCUUUUAAGCCCAUCCAAACAGGCUCUAAUUUAUGCAUUAAGCCUAACUUGAUUUUCUUGUGGGAAACUAGGACUUUACCUUACCAAUGAAAGAAAAAAAAUCUUGAAUUUUCAUUUAGUAAGGCUUAAAUAAUUGGAAUAUUUUUCUCUUUAAAUAUUUAAGUGAGAUAAGAUGAUGAUUAUUUUAUUUUAUUAUUAAAUGUUGUAUCAUUCAUACUUUUGAGUCUGUAUAAAAAUGGUAUGAAAGGAAAUUAUUUUUCCUCCUUUUUCUGUGUGGUCGGCGGAGAUCAGCAUAAACCCAAAAGUAUGAAGAUGUAGAAGCCCACACAGAAAUGCUAGAUAUUUUGGAAAUAAAAGUUAAUUAUUUAUUUUUUUCGUUUUUGGAUAACUGCAAUAUAGAGGGAACAUUAUGACCAAUCGAUGUUUCAUGUGUCAGAAAAAGACAAUAAAUAUCUUUUCUGCAUUGUACAGUGGACAAAAGUGUUGGAGAACUACACCAUACUCAAAUUCGAGUUCAAAUUGAAAGCGAAAUGGUAGAUGCCCUGAGGAUGAAUCUGAAGCCAUUCAGUGAGAUGCAUUGUCGGAGAUGUCUCUCUUCCUUCUUUUUCCCUUCGUCUUUGGUGCAUGAGAGUCUAUGUUACUCAGAUGCGAGUACUCAAUACGAGUGCGGAUAGAGGUUGGAUUCUUCAUCACACAAGUUUUUGGAUUUGGGGUUAUGGAUCUGAGUACAAAUACAGGUGGGAUACUGUCAAUAAAUGUACAUUGAAGCAUAUAUAAGUAUAUAAAAUGAUUAGUAAACCUUAUUGAGCUAAAACUAAUAAAAUAUAAUUCUUAAGAAAUACAUAAUUUUUUAUUCAUAAGAUUUCUCGUGUAAUAGUUAUGCGUUCUCAUACUUUAUAUAACUAUCUACAUAUGAUAUAAACCCAAAACUCAAACCAAGUAGAUGUAGUCAAAGCAUCCAAGGUAAGUUGACCAAAUCCAAUGUGGACCCCUCCUCCUCCACUCACACUCAAAUCAUGUCGGAUCGACAUGGGUGCGGAAGGGAUUUGAAGGGCCCGAGCAACAUAUGUGAGAAUGGAGAGUAACAGGAAUUUUUGAGGGCCCUUCCUAGGAGCUUCUUUGGAGGGUUUGUAGGCUUUUCUUAACGUUAGCUUUAACAUAACUACAAUGGGAUUAGACUAGAGAGCCUCUAUGGUUCUAUUUCCUUCUUAAUUCUCUUAUAUGUUAAUCUGGGAACAUAUUUUUUUGUUUGUUGGUAAUGCGGGGAUGUAUUGUCUUACCUUAUCGCAUCUCUCUUUUCCAUAUCUAUCAAUAAAAUCUUUCCUCCAAGAACUAGCACUGUAAUCUGUUGUUAGUAAGGCUCCAAGUUAAUAAAUCAGCUAAAACCAUAAUAGUAUUAUGCUUUUGAUUUUUCAAUUGGCUUUUCAACUUCUAUUAACUCUACUGUUGUGUGGGCCUGACUUAGCUUAUUCUCUUGUUUUUGGUGAAACUCUUGUUUUUGGUGAACUAUAAUGUCAAGCGCUUAUCCAGGAGCACACCCAUGAUUUUUUCUGGAGCUCAAUACUUGCUUGAUUGUGGAGACCUGGAGAAAUAUCAAGUAUCACUGUAAGUGGUGGAUCUUGAGGAAUUUCUACAACAAUGUGAGUGUCAAGGUAACAGCAAAUUUCCUACCUUAUUUUAUUUUUAAGCUAUGAAUGAAGCUAUAUUGGCUGUUGAUGCUACAUUUUCUUAUUCCAGUUUUCAUGGACCAGAUAUAUCAUAAUAUCACCACGAGACGGCAGGGCCAAGAUAUUUUACAGUGUCAUGGUCCAAGCAUGAAGUUGUUGAAGUCAUUCAUUCAGAGUCCUAGGUUUUAGCUCAAUCUUCACAAAAUGAACUGAGCAAGAGGGAGAACUGACCAAGAGGGAGGUUAAGGGGACUCUGUCCUGAAGACUGAGGGGGCUAACAUGAAGUAGUGGUCUCUUUUUUAUAUUAGUUAUACAAAGAUUAUCGAGGACCACAGUUCAAAUUUCAGUGUAUUCAAAAAGCACUAGGUGAUUUCUUCCCAACUAUCUUAACCUUGUUGGAUAGAGUUAAACGAGUACGGCCAGAGAUAGCAGGAAUUCAGUGGUUAGUCGAGGACACCAGCUAUCAAGAAAAGUUGCAGUGAGAUAUUGUUGGAAAAUUCCCUAGUAUAAUAAUUACGAUUUCAAUUUGGAUUUUUGGCCUAUUUCUAUAACGUCAUUUUUUUCUAAACUCAAGGUAUUAUGCUUAUGAGGAUCUGAUUCAUCAAUGUACUUUUAAAAAAAAGAAGCACGAAUCUGAUUUAUCAAUGUAAUUGCUUUGGUAUGGCUAAUAUUUAGUUGGCCGAGUGUGUUAGCUUCUGAUUUGAGGCUAUGCCAACGUUUUCAUUUGUUCUUCUAGACAUCACUGUAUGUUAUCAAGGGGAACAAGGAUGGAUUGGGG
This 5033-nucleotide long non-coding RNA is filed under the name Nicotiana tabacum (common tobacco). RNAcentral's name for it is "long non-coding RNA (NTAB_LNC002843)". The record is from RNAcentral. Lineage: Eukaryota; Viridiplantae; Streptophyta; Magnoliopsida; Solanales; Solanaceae.